UGGGGAAUUUUGGACAAUGGGCGAAAGCCUGAUCCGGCAAUGCCGCGUGUGUGAAGAAGGCCUUCGGGUUGUAAAGCACUUUUGUCCGGAAAGAAAUCCUUGGCUCUAAUACAGUCGGGGGAUGACGGUACCGGAAGAAUAAGCACCGGCUAACUACGUGCCAGCAGCCGCGGUAAUACGUAGGGUGCAAGCGUUAAUCGGAAUUACUGGGCGUAAAGCGUGCGCAGGCGGUUUGCUAAGACCGAUGUGAAAUCCCCGGGCUCAACCUGGGAACUGCAUUGGUGACUGGCAGGCUAGAGUAUGGCAGAGGGGGGUAGAAUUCCACGUGUAGCAGUGAAAUGCGUAGAGAUGUGGAGGAAUACCGAUGGCGAAGGCAGCCCCCUGGGCCAAUACUGACGCUCAUGCACGAAAGCGUGGGGAGCAAACAGGAUUAGAUACCCUGGUAGUCCACGCCCUAAACGAUGUCAACUAGUUGUUGGGGAUUCAUUUCCUUAGUAACGUGGCUAACGCGUGAAGUUGACCGCCUGGGGAGUACGGUCGCAAGAUU
RNAcentral lists this ribosomal RNA (547 nucleotides) under uncultured bacterium. RNAcentral's name for it is "partial 16S ribosomal RNA". It matches the Rfam family "Bacterial small subunit ribosomal RNA", at positions 355 to 895 of the family's 1533-position model. The record is from RNAcentral.